UGGAAAUUAAACUUCAAUCAAUCCUUUCGAUUUAUUUCCAAGCAUUUUGAUAUUCUAUUUCUUGUACAUUACAAAGGUAAGGUAUGAACAAGAUUACAAAACUCAAAGCACAAUUUCAUAUACAUAAUAAUAAUAAUAAUCCCCAACCAAUUUCUCUAAUCUUGAUACAUCAUCAUAAUCAUGUCCACCCUUUACACACCAUUGAUAAAACCCCACCACCAAUUUCAUCAAUACAAUCAUCAUCCACACAUCCAUGAUGAAUUUGUUAAAGCAAUCAUCUUUGACCCAUCAAAUUUAAUCUAAUUUUUUAAACUUAUCAUGUAAAUAUUUAUUAAUUCACACUUAAAUUCGUCAAGAACACAAAGUAAGCAAACAUAAAUCAUCGAUAUUUUAUUUUUUUGUUAUGUGACAUAAUUUCACAUAAAAAUAAAUUAUAAAAAUAAUCAUAUUAUAUAUAUAUAUAUAUAUAUAUUAAAUUUUAGACAUGAUGACAAUAAUGACAUCAUUCUUGGUUCCACUCCUGAAUGAGACGUGUAUAGUAUGACUCUUGAGGCUUUUAUGGCGAUCGCUUUCUCUGCAAGCUUGUUGACCGGACCAUAGAUUCGGGUAUAAGAACACUGGGAUCGGACCUUGACCUAUAGAGAGGCAUACCUGCGGUGGAUUCUCCGACGUGGGGCAUUUCGCUGCCCAUAACCAUCAAGGUUGGUUGCUUAUCUUCGGCAUUUGCAAACCCUUGGCACAAUAUGAGGGUCGCUAGGAACAUAGCCAUGAAGCCUCCAGGGGUUUUCUUAAUAGAAGAAGCCGCAGCCAUCUCUGAGCCUAAGGAUUUUGGACAUACAAAUGGAAUUGAAAGGUGGAAUUGGGAAGCAGAUAAGUAAGGGGAAAAGAUCUUUGGUUUUAUACCAAUUAUU
Molecule: long non-coding RNA, 911 nt
Filed under: Theobroma cacao (cacao)
Lineage: Eukaryota; Viridiplantae; Streptophyta; Magnoliopsida; Malvales; Malvaceae
Description: long non-coding RNA (TCAC_LNC005768)
Source: RNAcentral